GACGAACGCUGGCGGCGUGCCUAAUACAUGCAAGUUGAGCGCUGAAGGUUGGUACUUGUACCAACUGGAUGAGCAGCGAACGGGUGAGUAACGCGUGGGGAAUCUGCCUUUGAGCGGGGGACAACAUUUGGAAACGAAUGCUAAUACCGCAUAAAAACUUUAAACACAAGUUUUAAGUUUGAAAGAUGCAAUUGCAUCACUCAAAGAUGAUCCCGCGUUGUAUUAGCUAGUUGGUGAGGUAAAGGCUCACCAAGGCGAUGAUACAUAGCCGACCUGAGAGGGGGAUCGGCCACAUUGGGACUGAGACACGGCCCAAACUCCUACGGGAGGCAGCAGUAGGGAAUCUUCGGCAAUGGACGAAAGUCUGACCGAGCAACGCCGCGUGAGUGAAGAAGGCUUUCGGAUCGUAAAACUCUGUUGGUAGAGAAGAACGUUUGUGAGAGUGGAAAGCUCAUCAAGUGACGGUAACUAACCAGAAAGGGACGGCUAACUACGUG
This 497-nucleotide ribosomal RNA is filed under the name uncultured bacterium. Its description in RNAcentral is "partial 16S ribosomal RNA". It matches the Rfam family "Bacterial small subunit ribosomal RNA", at positions 28 to 507 of the family's 1533-position model. The record is from RNAcentral.